GGUUAAGCGAACAAGCGUACACGGUGGAUGCCCUGGCAGUCAGAGGCGAUGAAGGACGUGCUAAUCUGCGAAAAGCGCCGGUAAGGUGAUAUGAACCGUUAUAACCGGCGAUGUCCGAAUGGGGAAACCCGGUGCACUUCGGUGCAUCAUCGUUAGCUGAAUACAUAGGCUAACGAGGCGAACCGGGGGAACUGAAACAUCUAAGUACCCCGAGGAAAAGAAAUCAACCGAGAUUCCCCCAGUAGCGGCGAGCGAACGGGGAACAGCCCAGAGCCUGAAUCAGCUUGUGUGUCAGUGGAACGGUCUGGAAAGGCCGGCGAUACAGGGUGACAGCCCCGUACACGAAGGCACACAGGCUGUGAGCUCGAUGAGUAGGGCGGGACACGUGAUAUCCUGUCUGAAGAUGGGGGGACCAUCCUCCAAGGCUAAAUACUCCUGACUGACCGAUAGUGAACCAGUACCGUGAGGGAAAGGCGAAAAGAACCCCGGCGAGGGGAGUGAAACAGAACCUGAAACCGUGUACGUACAAGCAGUGGGAGCCUUCGUAAGAGGGUGACUGCGUACCUUUUGUAUAAUGGGUCAGCGACUUAUAUUCUGUAGCAAGGUUAACCGUAUAGGGGAGCCGAAGGGAAACCGAGUCUUAACCGGGCGUUAAGUUGCAGGGUAUAGACCCGAAACCCGGUGAUCUAGCCAUGGGCAGGUUGAAGGUUGGGUAACACUAACUGGAGGACCGAACCGACUAAUGUUGAAAAAUUAGCGGAUGACCUGUGGCUGGGGGUGAAAGGCCAAUCAAACCGGGAGAUAGCUGGUUCUCCCCGAAAGCUAUUUAGGUAGCGCCUCGUGAAUUCAUCUCCGGGGGUAGAGCACUGUUUCGGCUAGGGGGCCAUCCCGGCUUACCAACCCGAUGCAAACUGCGAAUACCGGAGAAUGUUAUCACGGGAGACACACGGCGGGUGCUAACGUCCGUCGUGAAGAGGGAAACAACCCAGACCGCCAGCUAAGGUCCCAAAGUCAUGGUUAAGUGGGAAACGAUGUGGGAAGGCCCAGACAGCCAGGAUGUUGGCUUAGAAGCAGCCAUCAUUUAAAGAAAGCGUAAUAGCUCACUGGUCGAGUCGGCCUGCGCGGAAGAUGUAACGGGGCUAAACCAUGCACCGAAGCUGCGGCAGCGACACGUAUGUGUUGUUGGGUAGGGGAGCGUUCUGUAAGCCUGUGAAGGUGUGCUGUGAGGCAUGCUGGAGGUAUCAGAAGUGCGAAUGCUGACAUAAGUAACGAUAAAGCGGGUGAAAAGCCCGCUCGCCGGAAGACCAAGGGUUCCUGUCCAACGUUAAUCGGGGCAGGGUGAGUCGACCCCUAAGGCGAGGCCGAAAGGCGUAGUCGAUGGGAAACAGGUUAAUAUUCCUGUACUUGGUGUUACUGCGAAGGGGGGACGGAGAAGGCUAUGUCGGCCGGGCGACGGUUGUCCCGGUUUAAGCGUGUAGGCUGACUUUCCAGGCAAAUCCGGAAGGUUAAGGCUGAGGCGUGAUGACGAGGCACCACGGUGCUGAAGUGACAAAUGCCCUGCUUCCAGGAAAAGCCUCUAAGCAUCAGGUAACAUCAAAUCGUACCCCAAACCGACACAGGUGGUCAGGUAGAGAAUACCAAGGCGCUUGAGAGAACUCGGGUGAAGGAACUAGGCAAAAUGGUGCCGUAACUUCGGGAGAAGGCACGCUGACAUGUAGGUGAAGCCCCUGCGGGUGGAGCUGAAGUCAGUCGAAGAUACCAGCUGGCUGCAACUGUUUAUUAAAAACACAGCACUGUGCAAACACGAAAGUGGACGUAUACGGUGUGACGCCUGCCCGGUGCCGGAAGGUUAAUUGAUGGGGUUAUCGCAAGAGAAGCUCCUGAUCGAAGCCCCGGUAAACGGCGGCCGUAACUAUAACGGUCCUAAGGUAGCGAAAUUCCUUGUCGGGUAAGUUCCGACCUGCACGAAUGGCGUAAUGAUGGCCAGGCUGUCUCCACCCGAGACUCAGUGAAAUUGAACUCGCUGUGAAGAUGCAGUGUACCCGCGGCAAGACGGAAAGACCCCGUGAACCUUUACUACAGCUUGACACUGAACAUUGAGCCUUGAUGUGUAGGAUAGGUGGGAGGCUUUGAAGCGUGGACGCCAGUCUGCGUGGAGCCGACCUUGAAAUACCACCCUUUAAUGUUUGAUGUUCUAACCUGGCGCCAUAAUCUGGCGUGGGGACAGUGUCUGGUGGGUAGUUUGACUGGGGCGGUCUCCUCCCAAAGUGUAACGGAGGAGCACGAAGGUCAGCUAAUCCUGGUCGGACAUCAGGAGGUUAGUGCAAUGGCAUAAGCUGGCUUGACUGCGAGAGUGACGGCUCGAGCAGGUGCGAAAGCAGGUCAUAGUGAUCCGGUGGUUCUGUAUGGAAGGGCCAUCGCUCAACGGAUAAAAGGUACUCCGGGGAUAACAGGCUGAUACCGCCCAAGAGUUCAUAUCGACGGCGGUGUUUGGCACCUCGAUGUCGGCUCAUCACAUCCUGGGGCUGAAGUAGGUCCCAAGGGUAUGGCUGUUCGCCAUUUAAAGUGGUACGCGAGCUGGGUUUAGAACGUCGUGAGACAGUUCGGUCCCUAUCUGCCGUGGGCGCUGGAGAAUUGAGGGGGGCUGCUCCCAGUACGAGAGGACCGGAGUGGACGCAUCACUGGUGUUCGGGUUGUCAUGCCAAUGGCACUGCCCGGUAGCUAAAUGCGGAAGAGAUAAGUGCUGAAAGCAUCUAAGCACGAAACUUGCCCCGAGAUGAGUUCUCCCUGAGACUAUAAGUCUCCUGAAGGAACGUUGAAGACGACGACGUUGAUAGGCCGGGUGUGUAAGCGCAGCGAUGCGUUGAGCUAACCGGUACUAAUGAACCGUGAGGCUUAACCUU
This 2903-nucleotide ribosomal RNA is filed under the name Cronobacter sakazakii ATCC BAA-894. RNAcentral describes it as "Bacterial large subunit ribosomal RNA". It matches the Rfam family "Bacterial large subunit ribosomal RNA". Lineage: Bacteria; Pseudomonadati; Pseudomonadota; Gammaproteobacteria; Enterobacterales; Enterobacteriaceae. The record is from Rfam by way of RNAcentral.